ACAGUCUGGUAUCGAUGGCGAUACCGGUGAAAACCGGUAUACGGGGGUAAUCUGACACCGUCAGGACGGCAUCUGCCGCGAACGGCUCUGCGAGCCGGGGCACCCCGCAAUAACUCAGCACACCUUCACCCCGGUGCGCAGAUAUCAGCUG
Molecule: non-coding RNA, 151 nt
Filed under: Morganella morganii
Lineage: Bacteria; Pseudomonadati; Pseudomonadota; Gammaproteobacteria; Enterobacterales; Morganellaceae
Also listed under: 1 other name
Description: EFASI RNA
Rfam family: EFASI RNA
Source: RNAcentral